RNAcentral lists this ribosomal RNA (504 nucleotides) under uncultured bacterium. Its description in RNAcentral is "partial 16S ribosomal RNA". It matches the Rfam family "Bacterial small subunit ribosomal RNA", at positions 30 to 523 of the family's 1533-position model. The record is from RNAcentral.
AUUGAACGCUGGCGGCAUGCCUUACACAUGCAAGUCGAACGGCAGCAUGGAGAGCUUGCUCUCUGAUGGCGAGUGGCGAACGGGUGAGUAAUGCAUCGGAACGUACCGUGUAAUGGGGGAUAACGUAGCGAAAGUUACGCUAAUACCGCAUACGACCUGAGGGUGAAAGCAGGGGAUCGCAAGACCUUGCGUUAUACGAGCGGCCGAUGUCAGAUUAGCUAGUUGGUGAGGUAAAGGCUCACCAAGGCGACGAUCUGUAGCGGGUCUGAGAGGAUGAUCCGCCACGCUGGGGCUGAGACACGGCCCAGACUCCUACGGGAGGCAGCAGUGGGGAAUUUUGGACAAUGGGGGCAACCCUGAUCCAGCCAUGCCGCGUGAGUGAAGAAGGCCUUCGGGUUGUAAAGCUCUUUCGGCCGGGAAGAAAUCGCACAGGCUAAUACUCUGUGUGGAUGACGGUACCGGCAUAAGAAGCACCGGCUAACUACGUGCCAGCAGCCGCCGUAA